UGCGUAGGUGGUCUUGUAAGUCAGAAGUGAAAGGCUACGGCUUAACCGUAGUAAGCUUUUGAAACUGCAGGGCUUGAGUGCAGGAGAGGAAAGUGGAAUUCCUAGUGUAGCGGUGAAAUGCGUAGAUAUUAGGAGGAACACCAGUGGCGAAGGCGACUUUCUGGACUGUUACUGACACUGAGGCACGAAAGCGUGGGGAGCGAACA
Molecule: ribosomal RNA, 206 nt
Filed under: uncultured bacterium
Lineage: Bacteria
Description: partial 16S ribosomal RNA
Rfam family: Bacterial small subunit ribosomal RNA
Source: RNAcentral